This 20650-nucleotide long non-coding RNA is filed under the name Ananas comosus (pineapple). RNAcentral describes it as "long non-coding RNA (ACOM_LNC006003)". The record is from RNAcentral. Lineage: Eukaryota; Viridiplantae; Streptophyta; Magnoliopsida; Poales; Bromeliaceae.
AUUCUUUGUGGGUGUGCUUUAUAUGAGAUUAAUUAAGUGUGCGUUUCAGAGGCUUAGUUUGGUAUUGAGCUGGAUCUAAUACUAUUAAAUAAAAUGGAGUUGAGGAAACGCAUAUAAGAAUAUGCUUUUGCGUUCUCCGAUAAAAAUUCAGAAAAUAUAUCGUAACCCAUUAACCGUAAUAUGCAGAACGCAAUAUUAUGUACGAAAACAAAUAAAAUAUUUUUCUAUCGUUGUUUCUCCCCGCAACAGUGCGUGUUGAAAAGGCCGAGCGAGCCGGGCUUGUUGGUGCGCACGCUAAAUCUCAGGUCGGUAAGAGGCUGAGCCGAUUAAUCUGACUGUACGGACGCAGCUUGAUAAUUCGUCCAUACAUUGUGGUGUGGUUUAGAUAUAUUUUAGAUUUGGGUAUUUGAGAGAGAUAUUAAUUUUGUAUUUUAUCUUUGACAGUAAUAAAGUUUUACUUCAUCUUCGUCCGUGAAUAUUUGCUGGUGGUCAAACCACAUAAACAUUGUACUUUUCAUUUUUUUUCUCUAUUUUUUCGAUUCUUUUUUGGUAUUUUAUGCCUGAUAAAUUAAAUCUUUUUGGCUUUUACCACAAUAGGCCUUGAUGGAGGAAAUUUAUACUAAUUGGAUUCAAAUUUCUUACUCAAAAAUAUAUCUUUCAUUUGCUUAAUUAGUAACAAUCGCACGAUUUAAUUAGAACCCGCUGAAAGAGUGAAGUUACUUUUUGUCUAUUAUUAUAGAAAAUAGUUACGUCAUCUACAUUAUAGGACUAAUUAGUUUAGUUAUUUUAUUUCGUUUCGUAUAAUUACAACUUCUAUAAUUAUAUAUAUGCACAUAAGCAUAUAUAUAUAUAUAUAGAGAGAGAGAGAGAGAGAGAGAGAGAGAAGGUCUUGUGCGCUAUUAGAAGUAUAGAGACCUCCGAUUUUGAUGAUGGGAUUUUCAAAUAGACAAUCGGCUUUGUUAGACUUAAUCUAGCGUAUUUAAACUAUUUUGAAAAUAAAUUUUGCAGUUUUUCGAUAUUAUUUACCUAGUAAUCGAAAUAAUUCAAAAUCAACGAAUGAAAAUAAAAAUAUCAUAAAAUAUUAUGAUGUAGCACUAAAAUUUUCGAUCAUAAAUAUUGAUCUUGUUGUAGAUAAUAUAAAUAAUUUUUUAUCAAAAUUUUAUAUGAUUUGAAUACUUCUACACCGUUAAACUUGCAAAAUAUCAGCCGUUAAAAAUUGAUGAUUAUAUAACACUUAUACUACAUCAUUAUUAAUUCGCUAAUCAUAUCAUUUUUUAGGAAAAAAGUACAAUAAAAAUAUUUUUUUAAUAAUCAUCAAAAGAAAAUAAUCUAAUUAGUUGGAGACGCCACAUCGGCAAUAUAAUUGGUGUAUUCUAGACUUUUUCCUUAUUUAUAGUGUUUGUGUUAUUUUAAAAAUUAUUUUGGUAUAAAUUUAAUUUGCUCUCUUGUGAUUUAGCUCAUUUUUAGUAUAUUACCCACAAAGUUGCACUAGUUAUUUUGUGAUUAUAUUUAUUUUUAUCUAAAAAAUAUACUAUCACAUAGAAUAGCUAAGUAAAUUUUUUUAAUAAUUAAAUGUAAUUUUUGAGUUCACAAGAUGAUAAAAAAAUAAUAAGCUAAAUUAUAGGAUGUUAAGUAUAACUUUUUGAAGCACGCAAUGGUAAAAUAAAAAUAAGCUAAGCCAUAGGGCAGCAAUUUUAAGUUAAUUAGUAGGGCAGCAAUUUUAAGUUAAUUAGUAUUCUAUUCGGAUGCAUGAAUAUUUUAUUUCAAAUAUCAUUCUAAUUUACACAAGAAGCACUUAAGAGUAUAUAUGGGCAAAUAUCUAGAAUAGAUACUAUAUUCAUUCUUUAACUUAUUUAUCAGAAUACAAUUAAUCAUCUUAUAGGUACAAAUAUGUUAUCCUAACAAAUUAUAAAUAAUAAAAUAUUUUAAAUAAAAAAUUAAAAUUUUAAUUUCUAAUUAUAUAAAAAAAUCUUUACAUCAAAUAAAUAUCUGAAAUAAGAUUUUAAAGUAUCAAAAUAUAAGUUAAACAUUAUUCAUGUUACACCAUUUUCUUUUUUAUGUGAAGGAAAGAUAUUAAGCUAUCUAUUUUAUUAAUUUCUUUUAAAAAAUAAACUAAUUUAGAAAUGUAAAAGAACUAGUUUUCAAACUUAAUAUCUCAGAUGCCAACUAUCAGUUAGAAUGUGUCACAUACUGUAAAGCACUUUUCGGCCCAUUGAACCUUUAUGAAGUUGCACUUCUGUUAAAGUUGGUUGAUUUUUUAUUUAUUUCUUUAUUAAAAGAUAAAAAUAUAUUGAAUUUAUCUGAAUUAUGAAUUAUUUUGAGUUAGCUAUGGAUAUUUCAAAAUUUUAAUUUUACAAUCUUAUCUUUUAAUUUGUUUGACCAAGUCAGUCAACGAUAUUUUUACUUCAAAAAUUUAAGCUAAUUAUUUAUUUUAAUAAAUUUAUAGCUGCGAGAAUUGUAUGAAGUAUGUUAACAAAAUCUGUAAGAAUAAACGACGGAUUCAAAAUACUCCUUAGUUUAAGUAAGUUCUAUAUGUUUUUACCAAAUUAAAAUUUUCAAAUAACUUUUUGUAUCAAUAAAAAAUAAAACAAAAAUUUAUAUUGGAGCUUAUGUUUUCAAUAAAUAAAUUUUAAAAAUUAGGGGCCUUUGUUUAUAUACAAUUCACUACUAUUCAAAACUUUUAAAUUUACCCAUCUAUUUUCAAAAGUACCCUUAAGGAAUUUUUCAAAACUCCAUGGUCAACUCAAGAUAAAUUAGAUAUUUUUGAAAUUCUGCCAUAUCAUUCCUAAUAAUUAAUAUCUUAAUUUUAUUUCUUAAAUGACGGAUUACUGCUCUAAUAACGGUGUUCAAGAUUUAUCCAAGCUAAAUAUUUGUCUGGGAAUGAUCAAAUUUGUUAAUCAAUGGAUUUUUCUUUUCGAAAAAAAAUUAUAGAAUAAUUUUCCAUGCAUAAUUAUAAAAGAGAAGAAGAGAAAAUAAAGCGAAACACUAUAGAGAUAACUAUGAUUGCUCCUCGACCAUUAAGAUUAUAAUACAAAUUUGUAUAGUCUUGAUACUUUGUGUGAAAAUUUUAUUUUAUUUUAUUUAAAUAUAAAAUUAUUUAAAUAUUAUUUUUUAUUAGUUUAAAUUUUUAGAAUAAAAUGGUUGUUUCGUAUUAUUUUGAUAUGGUAUUAGAAUUGAAGAUUCUGAAUUCAAGUUAUUAAUUUAAGUCCACAUCAUGAGCCUAAUGAAAAGUUUCGAGUUUAGACGUGAGGGAAAGUGUUAAAUAUAAAAAAAUUUAAACAUCGUUCUUUACUAGUUUAAGUUUUUAGAGUGCAACAGUAGUUUCAUUUCAUUUAACAGUUGUUUUGGUUUUAAAGGUGCCUACAAGCUUCCCAUAAUAUAGUUUUGGAUAUAUAUUUGUGUAUAUUCACUCUGAAUAUAGUUUUAUGAGUAAUACUUCAAUACACCAUAUAAAUUUUGACCAUUUAUUUUUCUUAAUAGGUGGUUUAGAUUUAAUAUAAAUCUAGAGGUGACCUACUAUUGAAGCAUUGGUAUCAUUCACCAGGCACCUAUUUAAAGGGUAUUUUGGUCUUUGUAAAAUAUUAUGGUCUACAAAACCAGUUUUAUCCAACUAAGAAUACUGUGAUCUUUUCAAAAGCCUAUGGUAGUUGGAUUUCAAAUUACAACCAAAUUGUAAAUUUAAAUUCAAAACAACAUUUAAAACUUAAUUAUAAAUCAAAUUCAAUUUUUUUAAAUAUAAAACACAAAUUUAAAAUAAAGCUUUCAGUUCCAAUUUAAAAUUUCAAUUUAAAUCAAAAAUUAAAUUUUGGCUUUAAGAUUAAAAAUUCAAUUUAGAUUCAAAUUUAAAAGUUUAAUAUAAAUUUCAAGAUUAAAAUUUUAUAUUACAAUACCAACUUCAAAAAUUAAAUUUAGAUUUAAUAUUUUUUGAGCCGGAUACUUAACAAAUUGGGUAUUAUCUAAUUUGGUAAGUUACCAAAGUAAAUAAAAUAUUUAAUAUUUAUAGGAUGGUGACAAAUUUGGUAUAUACUACUAUUUUUUUUUUCCAAUAUUGUUAUAUUAACUAAUUCAAAUCGGUAACCUGCUCAACAGGUUAUGUCAUGUAAAAUCCAAUUAUACUCUUUACUAAUUAAAGAAUUAGAUUUUAAUAUUUAUGGUGUAUUGAAGCAUUCCUCUAGUUUUAUUAAUCAAUGUGGAUUUUUUUUUUUAUGCUAUUUGUUGCUUGUAAUAUCACAUAUGAUUGUCGACACAUUAAUAGUCUUUAAAAAUAUGUAUAUAGGAGCAGUAAUUUUAUGAAUCUAAACCUACAAGUUAUUGAAACUGGAUGAACGAAUUAGAACGCAACCUAGACAAUGACGUACACAAUUUGAUUAGAAAAAUCUUAAUUAAGAAAGAAGGAAACAAGGGGAAUAAGAUAAUUAAUUACAAGAUGACGUCACAUGAUAUCAAUUAAUUCUUCAACAAGGCCCAAGUAUAAUUUGCCCAAUGGCCUUGAUGCAGGAAACUUACCCUAAUUGGAUUAAAGUUUUUUAGACAAAAAUAUAUCUUCAUUGCUUAGGUUAAAUCACAUGAUUUAGAACUUGCCGAAAGAGUGAAGUUAAUUUUUGUCUAUUAUUAUAGAUAAUUGUUAAUUACGAGACUGUUUGGUUCACUCAUUUUACUUGGUUUCGUAUAGCUACAACUGCUACAGUUAUGUAUAUUUAUUCUCUUUGGUAGUUUGAAAAUGUCUCUAAUUUCUCACCAGUUGGGUGAUUCGUUUUUUUCCCAACUAUUGAUAUAUGGGUGGAGUUGGAGUUAAUUUGAGUAUAAUUCCAAUUAUAUAGUAGUUAGACUCAAAUAUACUAAGCCUGGACACCUAUUUAAAUUUAUGUACAAUUAAAACUAUAAAUAAGUAGUUGUGUGCAGUCAAAUAGCCUCUAUACUGAACAUACAUUAUAGACGGUCACGAUAAUGUAUGAAAAUGUACCUCUCAAAAGAAGAGAUAAAAAAAAAAAAAAACUUUUUAUACACUCAAGAAAAAGGGUGUAGAUCUUACCCCUCACAAUUUAGGGCUGACAGAAUCCAAAUAAUUUUUAAUAAAAAAAAAUGAUGUGAUAAGUAAAGUAUUAAUGACCUUGGAAUAGAGUGGGAGUAAAAUAUACACCUAACUAUGGGGUGUACUGGUAUCAUUGCUCACAAGAAAAUAGCCUCAUAAUUGGUAGCAAAGAUUAUAGCUGCAGUAUAUAUAAUUUUUCUUACAAUAUUUCUCCAAUUUGGAAUUAAAAAGAAAAACUCGUUAGCAAAGUGUAAAUUUCCAGUCAAAUUGGAAAAAAAAGAAGAAGAAAAUUCCAAUUCAAAAUGAAUUGAGCUUUGAAGAGGUUAAUGGCAACAAAAUUUAUUGUGCAUCUCAUAAAAAAGCAGAGAGGGCUGAAAUUACUUUUAAGCUGUAAUUAAAUGCUUAAUUUCAUUGCUUUUGUAAACAAUAUUUGCCCGCAACUCUACUUUUUCAAAAAAUGCGGUUAUUAAUUUUGUCCUGAGUGAUUAUGAAGUCACUUACAAGAUAGAUAGAGAUGAAAAAAAUAAUCAAAAAAACAUAUCUGCUGUAACUUUUUUUUUUUUUUUCCCUUUUAUAUACUAGUGUGAAAUUUUUUUCAAAAAAUAAAUAAAAAAGGGGAUAAUUGUAUUUCUAAAGCCAUUGACUUUUAUCAUGGAACGGUGGUAGAAAAAAUAUUAUUCUUUUGAAUUUCAGGACCAGUAAAAAUCAUUUUUAACGUGAGAAUCGAUUACUUAUCAGCAAACAAACAGGCCCUUCAAGUUGGAAUAUCAUGCAUGGCACAUUUCCACGACUUUGAGUAAUUGCAAGAGCUCAAUAUUUUUGUUCCACCCACUGGCUAUAAGGUGAUGCCUUGGUAUUGAAUACAUUUUCUUUCAAUACUUUAGCACACUUUCUUAAAAAAAUAUAUAUAAUAAAAUAAGAAUAAAAAAACCAUAUCAAGAGUAGUCCUUCAUAUUUGGUACAAGUGAGAAAUUUUUGGCAGCAUAUAGAAAAGAGAAUUCUGAUUUUAUUUAGCAAAAUUGAUUAAUUUUCAGAUCAUUACAUUUUAGCCAUCAGUUGCGCUUAUUUUUGACAUCUUUUUCUUAAGUCUUGCAAACCAUACUCUAGAGGUUACAUAGAGAGUAUCAUACAAACUGUCUACAUAUUGGAACCACCAAAUCCUAAAUCUUUUAUUAACCAACAGGGCUCCAGUAAUAGGCCAAAAUCCAACUGCAAAUCCUGCUAUUGUAAUAAGGCAAAGGAGUAAGAUCUCUUUUCGAUUUUCAUCUGCCUUUUUUGAAACAUCAGAUCCUGCACGACCAUUAACAGUCGGUGGAGUACGACUUAACUGGCCAAUUGUCGGGCCUUCGGCUUGGCCUUCAUUACCUGGGCAACUCACAUUUAUUUGGAAUCCGCAGAGAUAUUGGUUUCCGACAUAUAUGUUAGGGUCGGUGAAUGUGUCCAUCGGAAUUCUUCCUGAGAAGUUGUUGUACGAUAUGUUCCAGAUUUCCAAGAAGCUUAAGUCGGACAAGCUAGAAGGAAUUGCUCCUGAUAACUUGUUUCUCGACAAGUCCAGAUAUAAUAGUUGCGUCAGAUCGCCGAUCUUGAAAGGUAUUUGUCCUGUUAGAUCAUUACUCGACAAGUUGAAUAUCAACAAUCCCAGAAGAUUUGUUAGUUCAUCGGGUAUGCGUCCCGACAAGCUAUUCCUAGAGAGAUCCAAGAUCGUCAUCUGCAAAAGAAGAUCACUACCAUAUUGAUCUUCUCUUCCUUUGAUGUCCAAUAUCAUAUUCUCAUCAUGAAUACCAAUUGUGCUGUUUAGGAUAGGUCCAAUGUUUGUAUGAGGGUUCCUCAUAGCCAUGAAGUUGCCGAAGGUCAUCGGUAUCGGCCCUGAAAGAUUGUUGUUUGAGAGGUCUAAGAUUCGGAGAGCAGUAAGAUUAGAGAGUUCUGUUGGAAUUCGGCCGACAAACUUGUUUGAUUUCAAGCUAAGAAUCUUGAGAGACGAGAGCUCUCCAAGCCAGAUUGGUAUCCUUCCUGUAAACAUGUUACCGCCAAGAUCAAGAGUAUCCAGCAUCUUGCAGGUCUUUAAGGAUGAGGGAAGCUCUCCAGAUAAACUGUUUUUCCUUAGGUGCAAUGAUCGAAACUGAGGCGAUUCACAAAGCCAUUCGGGUAUUCCUCCAGAAAGAUUAUUAUUUGAAAGAUCCAAAACUUCUAAUUGAGUAUUAUUUUGACAGUUUGGGAGCUCUCCUGAUAAAUUAUUGUUUGAGAUUGAUCUGGUAAUCAAUUGUGAACUACAAAUAGACAUGGGGAUCCUGCCAUUUAUUCUAUUCCUCGACAACAAAAGCGCACUUAAAUUAGGCAUUAGCUGGAAAAUAUCAUCAGGAAUAGGGCCCAUAAAUGAAUUGCUUGACAAAUCUAGUUGUGCCGUGUUUGACGGAAAACGUGGCACUGGUCCCUCAAAGAAGUUGGAACUUAAAUCAAUAAAUAAAUCUGUAUCAGCCCUGAAUUUUAUUAAGUUGGGUAUCACACCAUGUAGCUCAUUAUUAGCGAGAUAAACAGUAGAAAGAUUGGUCAUUGAGUUCCAAAACCAAUUUGGCACUGAAUCUGAAAUCCCCGUGGAAGAUAGAUCGAGGCUGGCUAGAGACUUCUGAGUAUGAAGCCAUGAGGGAAACUGGGGGCCUAGUUUACAGCCACGGAAGACCAAAUCACUGAGUUGGAAAGGAGGAACCCAAUUGUUGCUCAGAUUCAAAACCAACGAGUUAGAAGUCAGGUCGAUGAUCUCCAACUUUGUAAGAUUAGAAAAAUGAUAUUCUGAAAUAACUCCGAUGAGAGCGUUGGAGCUAAGAUCCAAAGAUUUUACCUCACUAAGGUUUCCAAGACAUUCCGGAACAGUGCCAUUUAGCUUAUUGUUAUAAAAAGCGAACACCUGUAAGGUGGAUAGUUUACAAAAAGAGGUGGGGAUUGAACCGGAAAGUGAGUUCAAUGAAAGAUCAAGAAUAUUUAGAUUGUUCAGGUCACUGAUCCAAUCCGGCAUGUUGCCACUUAGAGAUGUGCUACUUAAGUACAACUCUCGCAAGCUAUUUUGGAGACAUCCAGAAAAAGACUCUUUGAGUGCAUCUAACCGGGAAUUAAUUGUGGAACCUGAAAAAUCUAGUGUGCGAAGCUCACAGAGAUUGCCCAAACUAGACGGCACCCCGGCAUCGAAGUCAACAUUGCCCAGUUCAAGCACCUUUAGAGAAGCCAAGUUUCCAAUUGCAGAUGGAAUGAGCUCUGCAAAUCCACUUGAAGUGAGAUAAAGAUAUUGAAGGGAAGUAAUUCUAAACAACCAGUCGGGUAAGCUAGAAUUUACUUCGCUGUUAUUAGGAUAAUCAUCAAGUGACGUGUAAGAAAGAUCCAAAAGGGAAAGAGAGGUAAAAUUGACAUGCGGGAGAGAUUGUGGAAAGUUAACAAGUUGGCACUGCUGCAAACGAAUGUCUUGUACUAAAGGAAGCAUGUUCAAUGCUUGUAGGCAAUUAGACGUAUUCUCAAUCGAAGAAUAGCUCAUAUCAAUAUGAAGUAGAGAGGUGAGUCGAGAAAGCCAAUUAGCGUUACUCAAUGUAAGUGGAUUACCAGAAAGAUCCAGAAUUUGAAGUCUUGAGAGAUUUCCGAGCUGAUCGGGUACCGUCCCAAAAAAAUACGACUGAGAUAUGUUAAGAUAGUUUAACUUCUCGAACGAACCGAUCCACUGGGGAAUCGAUAUGCCUGCAAAGUAAUUGCUGCUGAGAUCCAAAUAGCUCAGUUGCUUAAGACGGAGCAAAGAAGGAUUGAUUUUGUUGCCGACAAGUUCUCUCCCUUGAAGAUCUAAAUGCACGAUGUGUCCGGUUCGGUUGUCGCACUCCACGCCUUCCCAUUUGCAGCAAUUUUUUCCCUCCCAAGAAAAGAAGACAGCUGCAGUUCGGUUGAAACCUCCGGCAAACCUCAGAAGUGCUUCCCUCUCGGCAUCUGGGCAACUCAUAUUAGAAGAUUUGAAUGCCACAGCAUAUGCAAACGAGAGGAACAACAGCAAAGCUCUUUUUAUUGCUUUGUAAUAAUCCAUUCUCAGAAUUUCUUCUUCUUCUUCUUCUUUUUUUUCUUUUUUUUUUUUUUUUUUUUUUUGUUUUCCCCGAUUUUUUUUUCUUUUUUUUUAGCAGUGCCUCACGUUGGAUUUAUAGUUACCAAAGCUUAUAGGCUAAAAAGUCAGUCAACACGAAGUUGCACCGAAAUGCCACCAUAAAAUGCUUCCCACUUUGUUGACGAGGGUGUUUAAUUUUCCAAGAUGACUUAGACUUCACCAUUAUGGAAAAGCCGAAAGCUAAUUUAAUAAAGAGACAAUCUAUAAUAUCUAUAAUCUAUAAUAACAUACAUGAAUUCUCAGUUUUGGAACAGGUGGCGAGCGUGGAGGCGUGGGCAGGGGCGAGCGCGGGGCGCGGGCAGGCGGGCGCGCGUGGCGGGGCGCCUCGUGGCGCGGGCACGCGGGGCGCGGGCAGGAAGCGCGAGCCGGCGCAAGGCGCGGCGGGACAGGUGGCGGCGAGCGAAGCGCGGCAGGGGCGAGCGUGGGGCGCGGGCCGGCGGGCGUGCGUGGCGGGGCCGCCGCGUGGCGCGGGCGAGCGGGCUGCGCGGCAGGCGGCACGUGGGCGGGCCACGUGCGCGGGGGAGAGGAGAGGGAGAGGAGAGGAGAGGCGGGCGCACGUGGGCGCGGGCGCGCGGGGCGCGCGCAGGCGGGCGAGCUCGCGGGCCGCCGCGUGCGCGGGCGAGAGGACGGGGAGAGGAGAGGAGAGGAGCGAGAGGAGAGGCGGGCCCAGCUAGGAGAGCAGAGAAGGUAGAGAGAAGGGAUUUUUUUUUUUUUUUUUUUGUCUCUUUUUGUCUCUUUCUACUUUUUCUUUUUUAUUUUUAUUUUAUAAUAUUGUUCUCUUAAUAUAUGAUUAAAAAAUUUAUAAAUUUUUUAAUUCAAUUAAAAUUUUAUUUAUUUUUAUAAAAAUUUAAAAUAUAUAAAUAAUUUUAAAUAAGUUAAUUAUUUGUAUUCAAUAUAAAUUUUAAUUAAGAUGAAUUAAAGAAUUAUUAAAAAUAGAUAAAAAAUAAGGAAGGAUUUAAAAAUGAAACAUUAAAAAAGUAAAAAAAAUAAAAAUAAAAGAAUAAGAUAGAUAGAAGAAAGAAUAGAGAGCAAAAUGUAAGAACAAUAAAUUAAUUUUUCUAAAAAUUAUAUAUAAUUAUAAUAAUAAUUAUAAUAUAUAUAAUUAUAAAUAUAAUUAUAUAUAAUUUCUUAUUAGUAUGAUUUUUAUCUUUAUUUUUUUAAUCUUUCUUAUAAUUUAUUUUUAUAAUUUUAUUACAGCAAUAGUUGUUUAUUUUUUAGUUAUUUUUUUAUAUAAUUUUUUGACUCCUUAUUUUUAUUAUUAUUUAUUUUAUUUAUAUAUUUAUUUCUGCAAAAUCAUCCCGCCGCAACGCGCGGGUCCUUCACUAGUUAUCAAUAUAUCCCUCUCAAAUUCUCACCUGUUAUAUAUUGCGCUGAAAAACAUCUGUUCCUAAAUAUAUCUUCCAAAAUUUUUAAAUAAAAAUUAAAAGAAAAUCAAAUCCUUGGAUUCGGUUGGGUCUGAAUAAUUAAUAUACUAUAUACCAAUAUUCUAAAAGGAAAUAUGUAAAAAAAACAUACCCUGUCAUUUAACAUCCGGGCGGCACUCGAUCUACAUAUUUAAGUUAUUAAUGCACUUAUUGGGUCUAUUUGAACGAAUUUGAAUAGUGGCUGCCCACAUAAGCUCGAGUAUGGAUAAGGAUGUCCAGUACGGAUAUCCGAAAUUUUAUCCGAAACCAAAUCUGAAAAGAACGAAUUUAUUCAAUUCUAAACGGAAAUAGUUUUGGAUAUGAAUAUAAGAAACAAAAACUCAAAUAAUUUGGAUUCAGAUAUGAAUUUAUUUAUAUAUUUUUUGAAUUAUACUUUAAAAAUUUAGAUUUAAUGUUAUAUAUUUUAAAAUAUUGUAAAUAGAAAUAAUUGUUUCGGGUUCGGGUUUGGGCUCUGGUUUCGAAGAAGUUUAGGUAGGGCUGGCAAACGAGCGAGCCGGCUCGCGUUCGACUCGUGUUCGGCUCGAUAUUUGGCUUGCUCGAGCUCGACUCGAAAUUAAAUGAGCCGAGUUUGAACAAAAUAAAAGGCUCGAAAUUCAUUUCAAGCCGAGCUUGAGUAUUACUCGGCUCGUUCGAAUUAGGCUCGAAAAGCUCGAAAAGCUCGAAAAGCUCGAAAAUAUAUAUAUAUAUAUAUAUAGGCCGGGGCUACUAUACUCUUAUGAGUAUAGACCCCCUUGUACUCAUAAAUUUUUAACCGUUGAUUGAUGGGAUGUGUGGUUAGGAUGAUGGUGGUCCCACUUAAAAUGAUAGUGGUCCCCUAGAGUUGAGUGGGUAGUUGGUUGAAUAGUAUGAUCUAACGGAUGGAAAUGAUCAGUGAAAUAAAUCUAAGGGCCGAAAACUUAUGAGUAUAAAAGAGCCAAUACUCAUAAAAGUACAGUAGCCGGACUCUAUAGAUAUUUAUAUAUAUAUAUAUAAUGUAUUUUAAUUAUAUAUAGGCUUUAAUUUAAUUUGGGCCAUUAUUGUUGGCCCAUAAAAUAAACCCAACAAGUACAACCGUGCAAUUGAGCCCAACUCUAAAUUUACAUAACACACUCUCUCUUUCAGACUUUCACUGUUGCACAUAACCCUAAAAUAUGAUAAUAUUCAAAUUUCCAAAUCCCUAAUUUUUUUUCCUCUCUCUCUCUCUCUCUCUCUCUCUGACCCUCACCCAGUCAGGCAGUCACCCUAGCUCACAUUUCUUACAAUUAUUUUGUAUUUUGAACUAUUGAACAUAUUGUAUCAAAUUAUAGGUAAUGUUCUAUAAAAAUUAAACUAUUGAUUAUAUUAUGUCGAGAAUUUCAAUCGGCUCGUUUAGAGCUCGAGCUCGGCUCGACUCGAAAUUAGGCUCGCUCGAGUUCGGCUCGAAUUAAUUUCAAGCCGAGCUUGAGCCUAGAUUUAAGCUCGAAAUUAAUUUCAAGCCGAAUUUGAGAUGACAUAAGCUCGCUCGAGCUCGGCUCGUUUCCACCCCUAAGUUUAGGUCGGGGUCGUGUUUGGAUAUAGAUUUUUAAAAUCCAUCGGAUUGGGUUUAGAUUCGGGUUUCGGGUUUGGUAGUCGGGUUUGGAUUCAGUUUUUUGAAAAUUUGCUCUAAAUCCAACCCGUUGACAUCUCUAGGUACAGAUCGGACAAGGAUCGAGUCUAGAUCGAGUACAGAAACCUCUAUAUGUAUAUAUUGUAUAAAGCACAAAUAUUUAUUCUAUGGUAAGUGUAAAAUAAAAAUAUAAAUUUAUAAUAGAUACACCAUAAGUUCAAAACACAUGCAUGUAUUUUUUUGAGAAAAAGGUAGCACGCUACCUGCUUCAUUCAUUUAGAGGAUGAAUUAGGCUUACAUAAUGGAGGCAACCGGGGCCUCCGACGGGAGAAAGAGCGUCAAAAGCCAGAAAAACAAAGACAAGAAACGAAAACGACAAGAGACUAAAACCAAAAAAAAGAAGGAAAUGAGGGUAAGGGAAGCGAAAGCGACAAAUAACUAAAACCAAAAGAGGAAGAAAGAAAGUGUAAAAGCGACAGGCGUCAAACAGCAGGGAUCCAGCAGGGUCAACAAGGAGCGAUCCAGGUGUCAAGCAGCAGUUUUGCCCGUUCCAGGCACCGAGUAGGGUUGGGGGCAAUCUCUCGAAAGAUUAAACUAUUCCUUUUCGUCCAAACGACUCACCAAAUGGCAGAAAGGAGGGAGGGGGAAAUAAGUCUCUCUUUGGCGUCUCUUAGAUCAAUAAGUUUAGACCAGAGGUCUCUCACAUCGUCCGAGGGAUCAGUCAGAGCCUCCAAGCCGCCUACGCUCAGCAAAAUAAAGCGAACAAAGACACAGGAGCUUAUGAGGUGGUCGCAACUUUCCAAAUUAACGGCACAGAAAAAACAUGUUUGAUCCGCUAGCCACCCUUGCUUAUGGAGCCUGUCUGCAGUGGGGAUCCUCUUACGAAGUAGUAGCCAUAGGAAUACUUUGAUCUUGCCAGGGAUAUUCAAUUUCCAGAUAUGUUGACUUAGGGGGUCCACCAUGCCUGAGUCCGUGAGAAAGUGAUAAAGGGAUCUGACUGAAAACUUUUGGUUGGAGGUCCAACGCCAUUUGAUUAGGUCCGGAAGCUGAGUUGGCCGGAUGGGCCGAAGCAAGUCCAUAAGCAGGCCCUUUUGUCUAUGAUAGUUCACAGGUAGAGGCCCUGCUGGACCGCGGCAGAUAUAUUGCCACCGCCAGCCAUUAGGGCCCCAGCACUGAGCAAUAGUUGUCUCCUUGUUUCGGGUAUGACCGUAGAUGUCGGGGAAGAGAGUACGAAGGGGAGCCUCGCCGUACCAAAUUGAUGACCAAAUCUUAAUAUCUUUGCCGUUUCCGAGGUUGUAGGUUGUACCGCAUUUAAAGAUGUCCCGGCAUCGCAUUACACUUUUCCACCACUGAGAAUAUGGCACAAAGGCCCUGCCCUCAUGAAGAGGUUUGCGUCUAAUAUAAUAAAUCGAUUUGACUAACUUCUUCCAAGGUAGAUCUGGUUCGCUAAAGAAGCGCCACCACCAUUUAGUUAAAACCGCUGUAUUCAUAGUUGCCAAAUCCUUGAUUCCUAGGCCUCCUUCUUUUUUGCUUUUGCAGACUGCCCUCCAAUUUACGAGGCAUGCCCCUCCAGAUAUGUUUGUGCAUCCGCACCAAAAGAAAGCUCUCCUCAAGGCUUCAAUUCGGCGCAGAGCCCAUUGUGGAGCUUUAAAGACGGAGAGGAAGUGAAGUGGCAGAUUUGAAAGGACAGAGUUCACGAGGAUCAACCUCCCUCCUUGGGAGAGGAGCUUGGCCUUCCACCUUUCAAUUCUCUUAUAAUGCGGUUGAUAAUGAUCGACCAGUCCUCUUUUCGCAAAGAUCUAUUGCAAAGGGGUAGUCCCAGAUAGCGGAUAGGGAGGCUUCCAACUUGGCAGCCCAGGAUGUUAGCAAGCCUGGUAGCUCUAGAGGUGUUUGAGCCCAGGUAGUACAGUUCGGACUUGUCCAUAUUGAUUUGGAGUCCAGAGGCCCAUUCAUAAAAUUUCCAUAAGAAACGCAAAUUUCGCAGGAUAAAUUUCCUAGGCUCGCAGAAGAAGAUCGUGUCGUCGGCAAAUUGAAUCAGAAUAGUUUGACAGUCCGAAGUUGGGCCGAUUCCCCGAAGAAAGCUAUUCCUGCAGGCCAUGUCGGAAAGUCUGGAAAGACAAUCUGCAACAAUCAAGAAGAGAUAGGGGGAGAGAGGGUCGCCUUGCCGAAGACCCCUUCGUGUUUUCAGCCAGUUUGUAGGAGUGUCGUUCACAAGGAUGGCUAUUUUGGCGUUACAGACGCACUGUUCAAUCCAGGACCACCAUUUUUCACUAAACCCGAGCCAAAGCAUGAUUCCUUUCAGAAAGGGCCACCGAACGUUGUUGAAAGCCUUUUCAAAGUCUGCUUUGAGACUGACGCAUUCCUUCCUAGUUUUGGAGCACAAACUGAUUAGUUUGCAGGCGUUGACGAACGAGUCCGCAAGCAGUCGGUCUUUGAGGAAGGCCGAUUGGGAAGGAGAAAUAAUAGACGGUAGAACCAGGGCAAUCCUAUUCGCAAGAACUUUGGAAAUAAUUUUCUGGAUGCCGUUGAUGAGACUAAUUGGGCGAAAAUCCUUGGCCUGGCACGCGCUUUCUUUCUUGGGAAUGAGGCAGAUGAAGGAGUAGUCAAUCGGGGCUGUGGAAAGCGUGCCCCCUUGGAGAUCAAUGAAAAUCUUGUAAAUGUCGUCUUUAACGGUUUCCCAAAAAGUUUGGUAGAAGAUAAGUGGAAACCCAUUAGGUCCAGGAGCUUUAUCACUACCAAGUUGAAAAGUAGUAGCCUUAACUUCCUCCAUGUCGAAGGGGGCAGUUAGACACUCAGGUUGUAGUAGCGUGUUGGAUUGGAAGAGAGCGCUCCAAUCCCCGAAGGAGGAAGGUCCGUUCUCUGCCUGACCGAACAAUCGGUGGAAAUACUGAUAGAAAAAGUAUCUUUUGUGAUCCUCCGUGUUUAACAGUCUCCCAGUGUCAUCUUCUAUUACUUCAAUGGGGUUGGUGCGUUUCCUUCCGUUGGCCACAGCAUGGAAGUACUUGGUAUUAGCGUCCCCCUCCUUGAGCCAUAAUUGUUUGGACCUGGUUUUCCAGAGGACUUCCUCUUCUUCCAAAAUCUGUGUGAGGUUUGAUUUGAUACGUUCUCUCUUAUCGUGGAGAUCUAAGCUCAGAUCUUGGAGCUCUUCCAUCUGAUCAAUGGACUGAAGCUCAUCCAGAAGGGACUUCUUAGCUACGGUAAUAUUGUAAAAGUUCGAUUUGCACCAUUCCUUCAUACGAACUCUGCAGUGCCUCAGUUUAGCAGCAAUAGUGAGGAUCGCUGAUCCUUUAGGACUGACUUCGUUCCACCAUGUGGUACUUUGGAGAUAAAAUCCUCUUUCGUGAGCCAGACUUUCUCAAAACGAAAUCUACGCGUCGGAGGUGGGAGCCUAGAGUAGAGGAGGAUCGGAGUAUGAUCAGAGGUGAUUCUAGGGAAGGCUUUGGCCUUGCACAGUGGGUGAGAGAGGUCCCAUUCCGUGGAGACGAGGAACCUGUCUAGUUUUGCCAUGGUGGGUUGACGAUACAUGUUAGACCAAGUGAAGCUUUGAUUUGAAAGCGGAACAUCAAUGACCUUUAGGUUAUUGAUAAGAUCCGAGAACAUCUCCAUGGAUUUUCUACUCCAAGUACGUCCACUCCUUUCGGUUUGAUUUCUGGUGAAGUUAAAAUCCCCACAGAUGACCCAGCUGGUGCAGCAAAUAUCUUUGAGGGAAGCCAAUUCAGAACAGAAGGCGUCCUUACCCUCCCAGGUGGGGGGUCCGUAAACAUUAGUGAUGAAGAAGGUCGAGCCGCUCGCGUGAUGGGAGAGGCGUAUGGUAAGAGAGUACGAUCGAACAAUAACUUCUAGCCCAGCAAAGUAACUCGAGCACCAAUAGAUAAUAAGACCUCCUGAGGCCCCGACGACCGGCAAAAAGUGACAUUUAUCAAAACUAGAGCCACAACAUGAUCUAAGAAAAGACCGAGAUACAGAGUCGACUUUAGUUUCCUGGAGACAGACAACUGCACGGUAGUGCCUAGACACGAUAGAUUUAACUAGACAUCUUUUACGAGGAUCAUUGAGACCUCGAACGUUCCAACUAAGAAAGGAAGACAUCAAAAAGAGACGAUCCCCUUAGGAGCAACAUCAGAACAGUAAAAGGGAGAGAAACUAAGUUAAAUUAGACCCCGACGGACAGGAAGUUCUGAAGAUCCUUCGCUUCAGCAUCAGAUAUCGCUACUCCAAGCAGAAGACUCUUCUUCUUGAUUUUAGAGCGAGACAGAUUACGAGCGGAGCGGCCUGGUUCAGACGAGGAUCCUUCCAAUAGUUUAGCUUUCCUGUUCGUUGCUCGCUCGAGCACGUUGACAUCCGUCAGAUUCGAGAGUCUGGCGCUUACCUUAAGGGAGGUUAGGGCUCCGCCAGUCAGUUGGGAGGGGGAGGGCUCAGCAGAGUGGAGGGGGGGAGCAUGCUGGUAGGACAGAAGGAGCCCAAGGCCGGGCCACAGGAGGUAGGCAAGGUGGGAGGCAGCAAGUAGUCUCCGACCCCCGGGGAGGGAAGGCGCGUCAUGGGAGGGAGGGCGAGCCGGGGGGGCUUCGGGCUGGCAUGAGAGCUCAGGGGGUUCAAGCCCGGACUGAGGGAGCACCGAUCAGGGGAGCCCGAGGCCGGACUGUCCAGGGCGAGGCCCACGUUGGGUCCACAGAUGGGUUCCAGCAAGCGGAGGAGGCGGGCCGGGGGAAAAUCUGGCCGCGACCGGGGCCCCAGCCCAGGGGUACGGGCUGGCGAGAAGCCACAGUGCCAGCCGGGGGAGCCGCUCGACCUAGGCGGGGAGCACAGGCAGGCGCGGAGCUCGAUCGCGGGGAGCUGCGGACUGCCGCGGGAGGUGCUCGGCCAUGCGAGGAGGCUCGGCCGACAGUGAGGGAUCGCGUAGUCCAGGGUCAGAGGGAGCACUCAGGCAAGAUCAGGCCGAGCCGGCUCAUCCAAGGCCAGGCCUCAAGUUGGGCUCCACAGAUUGGUUCGAGCAGGCGUGGGAGCUCGGUAACCGGCGGGGGACUCGCGGCGGGGGAGCUUGGAACCUGGCGGGUAGGGCUCGGGCCGGCGGAGGAGGAGCUCGGCCGAGCGGGGAGCUUGGACCGGCGAGGGCUCGGGCCGUCGGAAGGUCCUAGAGUCCGAACAGAGGGAGCACAAGCAGAAAGGCAGAUGCGGCGGGGGACUUCGGACCGACGGGGGAGCACAGGCGCGGAUCGGUGAGAGCUCGGGCCGCGCUGGGUGGAUGCUCGAAACCGCUGGGGGAGCCGACACCGCAGGAGUGGCUCGUGGCGGCAAGUGUAAUAUACGAAAAAUUUCGGGUUGCGAUGCUAAUUUUAAUCUGGAAUAUUAAAGUGAAAUGUGAAUUGGAUGUGCAUCAUUCCAGAGUGUUUCUGGACGUGUGGGAAUGAUCUCUGGAGGUAAUUGGGUAUUCGGGCACAAAUCGGGCGCGAAAUGAACUUGAAAGGGAAUUUUCGGAUUAUGACGCUAACUUUAACCUACGCGAUCAAAGUGAGAUAUGAAUGUUAAUUAUAGUACCUCCGAAUUAUUUUGGAAGUGCGAGGAUAGUUAAUGACAAAUUCCGGAGAUGCUUGGAUGUUAAAAAAAUAAAAAAAAAGUCGGAUUUUGAUUACAUUGUUAAAUUUGGAACAAGUUGGUCGAAGUAAGGCCAAAAUAAAAUUAAUUUGCUUUCGAGCUUAAUUAGUAGCUUCGGCAUAGUGUUUAGUAUGAUUUGGAAGUGAUUAGAAAUAUUCGAGGCGAGGCAAGGUGGAAGAACGAAAUGGGUUGAUAAUGCUGCUGCUGCCAGAAAAUUCUGCAAGUGCAGAUUUUGCAUUGUGUACCUCAGUGAGGUACAGGUGUGUACCUCAGUGAGGUACAGGCCUUUAAAACCUGCAGCAGGGCUGAAAUGUACUUAUGUUGAAUUGAGGGGUUAAGUUGCAAUUUGUCAAGCUUAUCACCUAUUUCCAGCUGAGUGGCAUGUGUCCACGUAAUUGGACCCAACUCCUCUUCACUGGUUCUCAUCUUUAUCCCCUUCCUUAUCUCUUUACAAGCUUAGGGGAAUUGGUGGAGAGGGUGACAGCUUGGGUGUUUGAGGUUGUGACGAGUAGGGAAACCAGCAGAGGAGAAGUUAUAAUCAGAGGUAAGAGAUGGUUUCCAAUUAAUAAUCAAGUUAAAUGCACUAAGAGAGGUUCUCUAAGGUAAUUAAACUUGGUGUUAUGCUGUAGAUUAAUUGGAAGCUAUACAAGAGAAGGAAGUUGUUAAAGUGCUACCUUGGUAGAAAGGCUGCCAAGGAAGCUAAUGAAGCAGAAUUUAAGAUGUUGGAGCUGCCGAAUUGGAGCUGCCGCUGAGGAAGCUUUAGAACAAAAUUUUAAGUUGUUGGAAUUGAAAGUAACCAGAGGGAUUAUCAAAUUAAGGUAAAGUGUACUCGAUAAUUAAUUACAGUUCAUGUAAUUUCAUUAAAGAGGAGUUACAACAUUGAGGUUUGCUGCUGAAAUUGGCAGAUUUAGUGUGUAGGGCUUGUUGAAGCUGCCGAAGUGAGAAAUUCAACCUGGGAAGCUUUGAACCUGAGGUAAUUAAUGACUUCUCAGCGAGGGUCUAGUUUAAUUACUCCUUAAGAGAGAGUUCUAGAUAAAGUAAGCAUGUAAAGAAGCUUAAAGGAGCCUUUAAUUGGUUCAAGUGAAUAUAUGUAUGCAGGAAAUUUUCGAAUUGAGGGAAGCAAUGGUGCAGAAUUCCAGCAUGGUGCAGAUUUUGAGGUUGAGCUGAAAUUGUUGCCUUAUUAGAGCUUCUUUGGUGUCCAAACUAAAAGAGGACCAAGUGGAACUUCAAGCUCAGGUGAGAUUAAUGUAAGUUCCUGGGCUAAUGGGUGUUAAUUGUACUCUAUGCUGUAAUGACUACAAAGAGAGUAGUCAUGAGGCAGAUUUCAGCAUUGAAUUCUGUUUACUAUUGAAGCUGAUUUCUAAGUAAUUGAAGCUAAAAAAAAUGAAACUCUAGGAUGCUGGGAGCAACUUAGAAAGCUUCUAAUUCAGGUAAGAAUAGAAAUUAUCCCUGAUUUGAGUAGUGGAAUGUUAUAAAGAUAAUUUCUAAGUGAGUUGUGAAGCACAAUUUUUGAAAUUCAGCCUGAACUGAAUUUCAGCAUGAGAGGUAUUUGUUAUUGAGCUGAGAACUAUGUAAUUGGACAGCAAAUUAAGUCACUUAUAAUUAUGUUAUGAUUAGGAGUUAGAUUAGUUACUCUAGAAGAGUUCUAAGCAUAAGAACUAAUUGUUCUAUGCUUAUAAUAAAUGCUCGAAGAGGAGGUGAAAUGCUGAAAAUUCAGCAUGAAGCAAGAUUUCAGCAUAAUGCUGAAAAUUAACAUUGAGCUGAAACUUUAAGUAUUAUGGCUUCUAUGAGAUUUGCUUUAGUAAAUACUUAUGAGUAGUUGUUAAAAGGUGAAAUUGAACUAAGACCAUGAUAACUUUAUCUUAAAGUUGAUAAGAAGUUUGAGAGUGAGAUUAUACUGAUGUACAUGUGGAAAGUAUAUCUAUAUGUAUAUAAGUGCUUAGAAGUUGAAAUGCAAGUUUUGUUGAAAAUGAAUAUGACGUCGGUUUAAUCUCUCCUAUACUUAUUUGAAUGAAAGUUAAACUUGCUCGAAAGUCAAAAUUGAUAUUCCGACAGGUCGGCGACGCAUUAAUUACGGUAGAAGCCAAUUCGUCUCUAAUUGCAUCGAGUCGCGUGAUAUUGUUCUUGAUACACUUCAAGACGUGAGCUCUUAGUUGUUGACACCACUACAGGUGGGUGGUGCUAUCCGAAGUCUUUGAAUCACCUUUUAUGUCUAUGAUAAUUCAUUGAGCAUAUUUAUAUUUGUUGUCAUGCAUUAUAGGGUAUUGGCAUUGUGCAAGUGAAAGUAUGUAUUCCUAUCAAUAGUGAGAACAUGUGAACAUUAGAAUGUGAAUAUAGAACCCUAUGAAUGUAUGGACUAUAGCAAUAGUAAACUUGGUGACAUUCAACUAGAGAUUUGGUUAGCAUCGAGAAAUGGAAUUGUGAAACUAGCAUAAAGAACUAGUUAGAGUAAAGUGUAACAGUGUUUGUCAGUUGAAUCCUCUAAAAGGGGAUCAGAUCAUACUCACAUUUGUUUAGUUCAAGUGAGGUCGCUCCUCCUUGAACGAUGAGCUCCGGAGUAGUCAUCUUUACUGGACCAGGAGGUGCGUCUCCCCCAGUUGACGGUCCCAUCGGGUGCAGGUGCGUCUCCCCGAUAUUUGGGAUAGCGUCAGUGAGUAAUUGUUAACCAGAGGGUUAACCAAAAUGAAUUGGAUAAACUCAGUAAAAGCAUGCAUGCAUAUUUACAGUUUUUCUAUAUUGCUUUCUUUCAGCUUUGUACAGGUAUUGUAGUAGUUACAUAUUAUAGUUGGUUACUAUCUCAGUUUACUUUUCUUGCCUACAUAUGCCUGGAUAGACCUAGUGGGUGAGUCGGCGAGGUCGGCGGCCGAACCCACUGGGAACUUUUAGUAGUUCUCACACUACUAACCAUACAG